This 124-nucleotide transfer RNA is filed under the name Pseudogymnoascus verrucosus. RNAcentral describes it as "partial tRNA-Leu". It matches the Rfam family "tRNA". From Rfam's summary of the family: Transfer RNA (tRNA) molecules are approximately 80 nucleotides in length. Their secondary structure includes four short double-helical elements and three loops (D, anti-codon, and T loops). The record is from RNAcentral. Lineage: Eukaryota; Fungi; Ascomycota; Leotiomycetes; Thelebolales; Thelebolaceae.
CGGACAGAUGGCCGAGCGGUCUAAGGCGCGUGACUCAAGAACUUACAAUUCUUCUUGGUCGAUUUAAAACGCCUAGUGCAUUCACGUAUCGAAAGAUGCGGGGGUUCGAAUCCCCCUCUGUUCA